RNAcentral lists this unclassified non-coding RNA (466 nucleotides) under Hevea brasiliensis (rubber tree). Lineage: Eukaryota; Viridiplantae; Streptophyta; Magnoliopsida; Malpighiales; Euphorbiaceae. The record is from RNAcentral.
GGAAAACUAAACACAAGCAGCGUUAGCAAGGAUUGAUUCUGUCACAGGGCUGAGGGAUAUUAUCCUUAAAAACACAAAUAUCAAAAAAAAGUAAGAGCUACGAAAGCCAUGUUAUGAGCUGCAUAGUUCAAAAGGAAAAAGCUGACUAGAAAUGAGAAAGGAAAAAGCUGGUGGAUUGUAAGUUAUGAUUGACAAGCAGAUGCAUAAAUCCUGAAAAAUACAAAAGGAAAAAGCUGAGAGAUUGGAAAGCAAUGAAUAAUGUCCAUUUCAAGGGGCUCACGGGGCUUCAGAUCUUAGUAGCCUAACAUGCCUACUUUGUUUCUGUAAUAAUUUUCAACUACUUUAAGGACCCACAUAGAGGGGCAAAGCUUUAGCUUAUUCUUAUUCCUAGUGCAACUUAUUUGAUUCCAAUUACAUGUUGGUAAUUUCAAUUCCAGAAGCUGUAAGAGGUGUGGAGCUUUUCAAU